GGUUAAGCGACUAAGCGUACACGGUGGAUGCCCUGGCAGUCAGAGGCGAUGAAGGACGUGCUAAUCUGCGAUAAGCGCCGGUAAGGUGAUAUGAACCGUUAUAACCGGCGAUUUCCGAAUGGGGAAACCCAGUGUGACUCGUCACACUAUCAUUAACUGAAUCCAUAGGUUAAUGAGGCGAACCGGGGGAACUGAAACAUCUAAGUACCCCGAGGAAAAGAAAUCAACCGAGAUUCCCCCAGUAGCGGCGAGCGAACGGGGAGGAGCCCAGAGCCUGAAUCAGCAUGUGUGUUAGUGGAAGCGUCUGGAAAGGCGCGCGAUACAGGGUGACAGCCCCGUACACAAAAGCGCAUGUGCUGUGAGCUCGAUGAGUAGGGCGGGACACGUGGUAUCCUGUCUGAAUAUGGGGGGACCAUCCUCCAAGGCUAAAUACUCCUGACUGACCGAUAGUGAACCAGUACCGUGAGGGAAAGGCGAAAAGAACCCCGGCGAGGGGAGUGAAAAAGAACCUGAAACCGUGUACGUACAAGCAGUGGGAGCCCCACCACUAAGCCAGUGGUGAACUCCACAUACGCAUCCUUUGCUGAGGAUACGGUUAACGGAGCGAAAGCGACGUUCAACCUCAAAAGAAGCAGAGGGGGCUUAGUGGUGGGGUGACUGCGUACCUUUUGUAUAAUGGGUCAGCGACUUAUAUUCUGUAGCAAGGUUAACCGUAUAGGGGAGCCGCAGGGAAACCGAGUCUUAACCGGGCGUUAAGUUGCAGGGUAUAGACCCGAAACCCGGUGAUCUAGCCAUGGGCAGGUUGAAGGUUGGGUAACACUAACUGGAGGACCGAACCGACUAAUGUUGAAAAAUUAGCGGAUGACCUGUGGCUGGGGGUGAAAGGCCAAUCAAACCGGGAGAUAGCUGGUUCUCCCCGAAAGCUAUUUAGGUAGCGCCUCGUGAAUUCAUCUCCGGGGGUAGAGCACUGUUUCGGCUAGGGGGCCAUCCCGGCUUACCAACCCGAUGCAAACUGCGAAUACCGGAGAAUGUUAUCACGGGAGACACACGGCGGGUGCUAACGUCCGUCGUGAAGAGGGAAACAACCCAGACCGCCAGCUAAGGUCCCAAAGUCAUGGUUAAGUGGGAAACGAUGUGGGAAGGCCCAGACAGCCAGGAUGUUGGCUUAGAAGCAGCCAUCAUUUAAAGAAAGCGUAAUAGCUCACUGGUCGAGUCGGCCUGCGCGGAAGAUGUAACGGGGCUAAACCAUGCACCGAAGCUGCGGCAGCGACACUGUGUGUUGUUGGGUAGGGGAGCGUUCUGUAAGCCUGUGAAGGUGGCCUGUGAGGGUUGCUGGAGGUAUCAGAAGUGCGAAUGCUGACAUAAGUAACGAUAAAGCGGGUGAAAAGCCCGCUCGCCGGAAGACCAAGGGUUCCUGUCCAACGUUAAUCGGGGCAGGGUGAGUCGACCCCUAAGGCGAGGCCGAAAGGCGUAGUCGAUGGGAAACGGGUUAAUAUUCCCGUACUUGGUGUUACUGCGAAGGGGGGACGGAGAAGGCUAUGUUGGCCGGGCGACGGUUGUCCCGGUUUAAGCGUGUAGGUGUGUGUUCCAGGUAAAUCCGGUUCACUUUAACACUGAGGCGUGAUGACGAGGCACUACGGUGCUGAAGCAACAAAUGCCCUGCUUCCAGGAAAAGCCUCUAAGCAUCAGGUAACAUCAAAUCGUACCCCAAACCGACACAGGUGGUCAGGUAGAGAAUACCAAGGCGCUUGAGAGAACUCGGGUGAAGGAACUAGGCAAAAUGGUGCCGUAACUUCGGGAGAAGGCACGCUGACACGUAGGUGAAGUGAUUUACUCAUGGAGCUGAAGUCAGUCGAAGAUACCAGCUGGCUGCAACUGUUUAUUAAAAACACAGCACUGUGCAAACACGAAAGUGGACGUAUACGGUGUGACGCCUGCCCGGUGCCGGAAGGUUAAUUGAUGGGGUCAGCGCAAGCGAAGCUCCUGAUCGAAGCCCCGGUAAACGGCGGCCGUAACUAUAACGGUCCUAAGGUAGCGAAAUUCCUUGUCGGGUAAGUUCCGACCUGCACGAAUGGCGUAAUGAUGGCCAGGCUGUCUCCACCCGAGACUCAGUGAAAUUGAACUCGCUGUGAAGAUGCAGUGUACCCGCGGCAAGACGGAAAGACCCCGUGAACCUUUACUAUAGCUUGACACUGAACAUUGAGCCUUGAUGUGUAGGAUAGGUGGGAGGCUUUGAAGUGUGGACGCCAGUCUGCAUGGAGCCGACCUUGAAAUACCACCCUUUAAUGUUUGAUGUUCUAACGUGGACCCGUAAUCCGGGUUGCGGACAGUGUCUGGUGGGUAGUUUGACUGGGGCGGUCUCCUCCUAAAGAGUAACGGAGGAGCACGAAGGUUGGCUAAUCCUGGUCGGACAUCAGGAGGUUAGUGCAAUGGCAUAAGCCAGCUUGACUGCGAGCGUGACGGCGCGAGCAGGUGCGAAAGCAGGUCAUAGUGAUCCGGUGGUUCUGAAUGGAAGGGCCAUCGCUCAACGGAUAAAAGGUACUCCGGGGAUAACAGGCUGAUACCGCCCAAGAGUUCAUAUCGACGGCGGUGUUUGGCACCUCGAUGUCGGCUCAUCACAUCCUGGGGCUGAAGUAGGUCCCAAGGGUAUGGCUGUUCGCCAUUUAAAGUGGUACGCGAGCUGGGUUUAGAACGUCGUGAGACAGUUCGGUCCCUAUCUGCCGUGGGCGCUGGAGAACUGAGGGGGGCUGCUCCUAGUACGAGAGGACCGGAGUGGACGCAUCACUGGUGUUCGGGUUGUCAUGCCAAUGGCACUGCCCGGUAGCUAAAUGCGGAAGAGAUAAGUGCUGAAAGCAUCUAAGCACGAAACUUGCCCCGAGAUGAGUUCUCCCUGAGACUUUAGUCUCCUGAAGGAACGUUGAAGACGACGACGUUGAUAGGCCGGGUGUGUAAGCGCAGCGAUGCGUUGAGCUAACCGGUACUAAUGAACCGUGAGGCUUAACCUU
Molecule: ribosomal RNA, 3005 nt
Filed under: Salmonella enterica subsp. enterica
Lineage: Bacteria; Pseudomonadati; Pseudomonadota; Gammaproteobacteria; Enterobacterales; Enterobacteriaceae
Description: 23S ribosomal RNA
Rfam family: Bacterial large subunit ribosomal RNA
Source: RNAcentral